Long non-coding RNA from Populus nigra (black poplar), 1330 nucleotides. RefSeq lists it as uncharacterized. The record is from RefSeq and is a predicted model, not a curated record. Lineage: Eukaryota; Viridiplantae; Streptophyta; Magnoliopsida; Malpighiales; Salicaceae. The transcript has 4 exons.
AAUCAAACACUUCCUUGUCCUCACAGUAAAAUAUCAACUGCAGGCAAUAGAAGGAGGGAAACCAGCAACGGCUUAUCUUCAACUCCUACACACAAGAACAUACUCUCUCUAUCUAUCCAUAACUCUAUGUUGAAAUGGAACACUUGUCGUUGAAUCCAUCUUUGCAAAAUGAAACCGAAAACGAAAAUUUGGGACUGCCUGAGAAAGAUGUCGGAAGCCAAGGCCUGAGGAGAAAAAGUUUGUCAAGAAGGGAAUUUCAUGACAGACUACUCCAUUUCCUGGAGAUGAAGUGGAAGUUCAUUUCAGUGGACAUAUUGAAGGCGGGGCGGGGCAUAUCUUGAUUCAAGUCGUGAUAAAGGGGUUCCUUUCAAGUUCAAAUUAGGCCUAGGCAAGAAAUGAACUCUCCAUAGUAAUGGUGAUAUAUCUUUAUUGUUAGCUAUAUGUACAAGAAGUCUUUGUUUGAUAUUUGGGUUUUAGGUGAGGUUAUAAGAGGAUAGGAUGAGGGAGUUGCCACUAUGAAGAAUGGUGAGAGAGCAAGUUUUACGAUACCGCCAAACUUGGCCUAUGGGGAGGCUGGUUCUCCACCACUGAUUCCUCCCAAUGCAACUCUUUUUUUUGAUGUUGAGAUCCUGUCAUGGAGUAGCAUCUGGGAUUUAACAGGUGAUGGAGGAAUAUUGAAGAAGAUAACAAAGGAGGGUGAAGGAUAUUGGGCUACACCAAGAGAUAUUGGAGAUUAAGUUUUAGAAAAGUAUGAGGCAAAGCUUGAGAAUGGAAUCCUUGUCUCCAAAUCUGAGGAAGGUGUGGAGUUUCAUAUAGGAGAUGGUAAGUGUGUUGUGUUAAUAACAUUUUCUCAAGUAAUGUCGUAGAAAUUUGAGGGUUUCAUCUCUGGUGAGAAUAAUUCUUCUAUAUUGAUCUGGGUUUACGUUAUCUAUGUCCUGCAUGGAGCAAAGCAGUGAAAACAAUGAGAAAGGGUGAGAAGGCAGAGCUAGCAUAUUUUUCAAAUAAGUAUAUCUGUGGUCCUUACCAUUAUAGAACAAGUGAACAGCGGUUUAGACAGAGCCAUUAUGACUAAGAAGAAAGGAGAACAUGCCGCAGUGACCGUGGAUACCGAAUACCUCCGUGGCGGUGACGAUGCUUCCUGCAAAUUCCUUGCUUCAUUAUGAAGUUGAGCUGAUCGAUUUUAUCGAAUUGCAUUCAAUUUUCACAACUCCGAGUUUUGAACAGAAAUAACCGUUCUGGAAAAUUAGAAGCAAGUGAAAGGAAGAAGCUCGACGGAAAUGUGCUAUUCAAGGCAGGAAAAUUCUGGCAAGCCUCUAAGAAAUAUGAGAAG